Molecule: unclassified non-coding RNA, 357 nt
Filed under: soil metagenome
Description: partial contains 5.8S ribosomal RNA, internal transcribed spacer 2, and large subunit ribosomal RNA
Rfam family: 5.8S ribosomal RNA (bases 1-120)
Source: RNAcentral
GAUGAAGAACGUAGCGAAAUGCGAUAAGUAAUGUGAAUUGCAGAAUUCAGUGAAUCAUCGAAUCUUUGAACGCACAUUGCGCCCGUCAGUAUUCUGGCGGGCAUGCCUGUUCGAGCGUCAUUACGCCCCUCAAGUCCCCUGUGGACUUGGUGUUGGGGAUCGGCGAGGCUGGUUUUCCAGCACAGCCGUCCCUUAAAUUAAUUGGCGGUCUCGCCGUGGCCCUCCUCUGCGCAGUAGUAAAACACUCGCAACAGGAGCCCGGCGCGGUCCACUGCCGUAAAACCCCCCAACUUUUUAUAGUUGACCUCGAAUCAGGUAGGACUACCCGCUGAACUUAAGCAUAUCAAUAAGCGAGGA